Molecule: ribosomal RNA, 252 nt
Filed under: uncultured bacterium
Lineage: Bacteria
Description: partial 16S ribosomal RNA
Rfam family: Bacterial small subunit ribosomal RNA
Source: RNAcentral
UACGGAGGAUGCGAGCGUUAUCCGGAUUUAUUGGGUUUAAAGGGUGCGUAGGCGGAUCGUUAAGUCAGUGGUCAAAUUGAGGGGUUCAACCCCUUCCCGCCAUUGAAACUGGCGAUCUUGAGUGGAAGAGAAGUAUGCGGAAUGCGUGGUGUAGCGGUGAAAUGCAUAGAUAUCACGCAGAACCCCGAUUGCGAAGGCAGCAUGCCGGCUUCCUACUGACGCUGAAGCACGAAAGCGUGGGGAUCGAACAGG